UAGUACGGCGAGUGAAGAGGGAAGAGCCCAAGAUUGAAAGCUGGCGUCUUCGGCGUCCGCAUUGUAAUCUCAAGAAGUAUUUUCCGCUUCGGACCAAGCCUAAGUCCCCUGGAAAGGGGCAUCAUAGAGGGUGAUAAUCCCGUACAUGGCUUGGAGCGCCCGAGGCUUUGUGAUACGCUUUCUAAGAGUCGAGUUGUUUGGGAAUGCAGCUCAAAAUGGGUGGUAAAUGCCAUCUAAGGCUAAAUAUUGGGGAGAGACCGAUAGCGAACAAGUACAGUGAUGGAAAGAUGAAAAGAACUUUGAAAAGAGAGUUAAACAGUACGUGAAAUUGCCAAAAGGGAAGGGUAGGAGGUCAGAGAUGCGGCCUGGGAUUCAGCCUUGCUUUUGCUUGGUGUUUUUCCCAGAUUGCAGGCCAACGUCGGUUUUGGGCACUGGAGAAGGGUAGGAGGAACGUGGCACCCCUCGGGGUGUGUUAUAGCCUCCUACUGGAUACAGCGACCGAGACCGAGGACAGCAGCGUACUCGCAAGAGCGGGCCUUCGGGCACCUUUACGCUUAGGGCGUUGGCAUAAUGGCCCUCUACCACCCGUCUUGA
RNAcentral lists this ribosomal RNA (594 nucleotides) under uncultured Pseudozyma. RNAcentral's name for it is "LSU rRNA". It matches the Rfam family "Eukaryotic large subunit ribosomal RNA", at positions 81 to 657 of the family's 3401-position model. The record is from RNAcentral. Lineage: Eukaryota; Fungi; Basidiomycota; Ustilaginomycetes; Ustilaginales; Ustilaginaceae.